RNAcentral lists this ribosomal RNA (465 nucleotides) under uncultured Zoogloea sp. RNAcentral describes it as "bacterial SSU rRNA". It matches the Rfam family "Bacterial small subunit ribosomal RNA", at positions 338 to 795 of the family's 1533-position model. The record is from RNAcentral. Lineage: Bacteria; Pseudomonadati; Pseudomonadota; Betaproteobacteria; Rhodocyclales; Zoogloeaceae.
CCUACGGGCGGCUGCAGUGGGGAAUUUUGGACAAUGGGGGCAACCCUGAUCCAGCCAUGCCGCGUGAGUGAAGAAGGCCUUCGGGUUGUAAAGCUCUUUCAGGUGGAAAGAAAUCGCAUCUUUUAAUACAGGGUGUGGAUGACGGUACCAUCAGAAGAAGCACCGGCUAACUACGUGCCAGCAGCCGCGGUAAUACGUAGGGUGCGAGCGUUAAUCGGAAUUACUGGGCGUAAAGCGUGCGCAGGCGGUUAUGUAAGACAGAUGUGAAAUCCCCGGGCUCAACCUGGGAACUGCGUUUGUGACUGCAUAACUAGAGUACGGCAGAGGGAGGUGGAAUUCCGCGUGUAGCAGUGAAAUGCGUAGAGAUGCGGAGGAACACCGAUGGCGAAGGCAGCCUCCUGGGCCAGUACUGACGCUCAUGCACGAAAGCGUGGGGAGCAAACAGGAUUAGAUACCCUGGUAGUC